GUUUGAUCCUGGCUCAAGAUGAACCCUAGCGGCAGGCUUAAUACAUGCAAGUCGAGGGGUAACAGGGGCUUCGGCCCGCUGACGACCGGCGCACGGGUGAGUAACGCGUAUGCAACCUGCCUGUAACAGCGGGAUAGCUCCCUGAAAGGGGAAUUAACACCGCAUAAGACCACGCUCUCGCAUGGGGACGGGGUAAAAUAUUUAUAGGUUACAGAUGGGCAUGCGUGACAUUAGUUAGUUGGUGAGGUAACGGCUCACCAAGACUGCGAUGUCUAGGGGUUCUGAGAGGAAGGCCCCCCACACUGGGACUGAGACACGGCCCACACUCCUACGGGAGGCAGCAGUGAGGAAUAUUGGACAAUGGAUGGAAAUCUGAUCCAGCCAUGCCGCGUGCAGGAAGACGGCCUUAUGGGUUGUAAACUGCUUUUAUACGGGAGCAAUAAGGGUUACGAGUAAUCCGAUGAGAGUACUGUAUGAAUAAGGAUCGGCUAACUCCGUGCCAGCAGCCGCGGCAAUACGGAGGAUCCGAGCGUUAUCCGGAAUUAUUGGGUUUAAAGGGUGCGUAGGCGGCCAUUUAAGUCAGCGGUGAAAUUUUGCAGCUUAACUGUAACAGUGCCGUUGAUACUGUUUGGCUAGGAUUUGGUUGUAGUGUGCGGAAUGUGUGGUGUAGCGGUGAAAUGCUUAGAUAUCACACAGAACACCGAUUGCGAAGGCAGCACACUAAGUCAUUAUUGACGCUGAGGCACGAAAGUGUGGGGAUCAAACAGGAUUAGAUACCCUGGUAGUCCACACUGUAAACGAUGAUAACUCGCUGUCGGCGAUACACAGUCGGUGGCCAAGCGAAAGCAUUAAGUUAUCCACCUGGGGAGUACGACCGCAAGGUUGAAACUCAAAGGAAUUGACGGGGGCCCGCACAAGCGGAGGAACAUGUGGUUUAAUUCGAUGAUACGCGAGGAACCUUACCCGGGCUCGAACGGUGCAUGAAUAUACGAGAGAUUGUAUAGUCCUUCGGGACAUGUAUCGAGGUGCUGCAUGGUUGUCGUCAGCUCGUGCCGUGAGGUGUCGGCUUAAGUGCCAUAACGAGCGCAACCCUUGUCAUUAGUUGCCAUCAGGUCAAGCUGGGGACUUUAAUGAGACUGCCACCGUAAGGUGUGAGGAAGGGGGGGAUGACGUCAAAUCAGCACGGCCCUUAUGUCCGGGGCGACACACGUGUUACAAUGGGAGGUACAGAGGGCAGCUAUCCGGUGACGGAAUGCUAAUCUCCAAAACCUUUCUCAGUUCGGAUUGGAGUCUGCAACUCGACUCCAUGAAGGUGGAUUCGCUAGUAAUCGCGCAUCAGCCAUGGCGCGGUGAAUACGUUCCCGGGCCUUGCACUCACCGCCCGUCA
This 1387-nucleotide ribosomal RNA is filed under the name uncultured bacterium. RNAcentral describes it as "16S ribosomal RNA". It matches the Rfam family "Bacterial small subunit ribosomal RNA". The record is from RNAcentral.